AGUGAACGCUGGCGGUAGGCCUAACACAUGCAAGUCGAACGGCAGCACAGUAAGAGCUUGCUCUUACGGGUGGCGAGUGGCGGACGGGUGAGGAAUACAUCGGAAUCUACUUUUUCGUGGGGGAUAACGUAGGGAAACUUACGCUAAUACCGCAUACGACCUACGGGUGAAAGUAGGGGAUCUUCGGACCUUGCGCGAUUGAAUGAGCCGAUGUCGGAUUAGCUAGUUGGCGGGGUAAAGGCCCACCAAGGCGACGAUCCGUAGCUGGUCUGAGAGGAUGAUCAGCCACACUGGAACUGAGACACGGUCCAGACUCCUACGGGAGGCAGCAGUGGGAAUAUUGGACAAUGGGCGCAAGCCUGAUCCAGCCAUACCGCGUGGGUGAAGAAGGCCUUCGGGUUGUAAAGCCCUUUUGUUGGGAAAGAAAAGCAGCAGGUUAAUACCCCGCUGUUCUGACGGUACCCAAAGAAUAAGCACCGGCUAACUUCGUG
RNAcentral lists this ribosomal RNA (491 nucleotides) under uncultured bacterium. RNAcentral's name for it is "partial 16S ribosomal RNA". It matches the Rfam family "Bacterial small subunit ribosomal RNA", at positions 29 to 507 of the family's 1533-position model. The record is from RNAcentral.